This 497-nucleotide ribosomal RNA is filed under the name uncultured bacterium. RNAcentral's name for it is "partial 16S ribosomal RNA". It matches the Rfam family "Bacterial small subunit ribosomal RNA", at positions 28 to 507 of the family's 1533-position model. The record is from RNAcentral.
GAUGAACGCUGGCGGCGUGCCUAAUACAUGCAAGUCGAGCGAACAGACGAGGAGCUUGCUCCUCUGACGUUAGCGGCGGACGGGUGAGUAACACGUGGAUAACCUACCUAUAAGACUGGGAUAACUUCGGGAAACCGGAGCUCAUACCGGAUCUUAUAUUGAACGGCAUGGUUCAUUAGUGAAAGACGGUUUUGCUGUCACUUAUAGUUGUAUCCGCGCCGCAUUAGCUAGUUGGUAAGGUAACGGCUUUCCAAGGCAACGAUGCGUAGCCGACCUGAGAGGAUGAUCGGCCACACUGGAACUGAGACACGGUCCAGACUCCUACGGGAGGCAGCAGUGGGGAAUAUUGCGCAAUGGGCGAAAGCUUGACGGAGCAAUGCCGCGUGAGUGAAGAAGGUCUUCGGAUCGUAAAACUCUGUUAUUAGGGAAGAACAAAUGUGUAAGUAACUAUGCACGUCUUGACGGUACCUAAUCAGAAAGCCACGGCUAACUACGUG